GACGUAGGAUGCAAGCGUUGUCCGGAAUUAUUGGGCGUAAAGAGUUCGUAGGCGGUUACUUAAGUCUGGUGUUAAAGACGGGAGCUCAACUCCCGCAUGGCAUUGGAAACUGGGUGGCUAGAGUGUGGUAGAGGUCUCGGGAAUUCCAGGUGUAGCGGUGAAAUGCGCAGAUAUCAGGAGGAACACCGAUGGCGAAGGCAGGUCUCUGGGCCAUAACUGACGCUGAGAAGCGAAAGCAUGGGGAGCGAACAGG
Molecule: ribosomal RNA, 253 nt
Filed under: uncultured bacterium
Lineage: Bacteria
Description: partial 16S ribosomal RNA
Rfam family: Bacterial small subunit ribosomal RNA
Source: RNAcentral